CAAAAAAGGUAUAUGCAAUGUGUUUUUACUGCCGGCCUGCCCACUGGCAGGCAGCAUCGACUGUUCUUCCUCCCAUCAUCAUCAUCUUCAGCAGCAGCAGAGCAGCAGCAGCAGGCUCCCCAGGCUCUCAAAGAUGGUAUCUUAACUAGAACUCCCUGGCCACUGAGAGAAAGAUGAAUGUGAGGAAGACAUGGUGACCAGCUGCAGGAGUGACAUGAGGACCUGAACCAAGAUCAUGAUGGAUGCCACCACAGCAUGGCUUGAUGAGCUGGCCAUGUCUAGGUCCGCACCUGGGAUUCGAAGCUGCGAACUCCAGGCUGCCAAGGCAGAGCAUGGGAAUCUAACCACUACGCCACCAGGUUGACUCCUCGCCUUAUUUUUAAGAACAAAGGCUCUGAAAGAAACUUUGACCUCCCCCACUGUCUAAAAGAAAUUCAAAAUAAAAGGCCUGUCCCCAGUACAGGCCAUCACCAUAGAUAAUUCUGGGUAUUGAUAGACUGUGAGGGUCCUUGCUAAGCCCAUUCUCAUCUACCAAACACUCACUUUUCCAUUUCCAUGUGAAUU
This 564-nucleotide long non-coding RNA is filed under the name Equus asinus (donkey). Its description in RNAcentral is "lncRNA (ENSEASG00005024759.1)". The record is from RNAcentral. Lineage: Eukaryota; Metazoa; Chordata; Mammalia; Perissodactyla; Equidae.